RNAcentral lists this ribosomal RNA (458 nucleotides) under uncultured bacterium. RNAcentral's name for it is "SSU rRNA". It matches the Rfam family "Bacterial small subunit ribosomal RNA", at positions 26 to 518 of the family's 1533-position model. The record is from RNAcentral.
AGAAUCAACGCUGGCGGCGUGCCUAACACAUGCAAGUCGAACGAGAAAGUGGAGCAAUCCAUGAGUACAGUGGCGACCGGGUGAGUAACACGUGACUACCUACCCUUGAGUGGGGGAUAACCUCGGGAAACCGAGGCUAAUACCGCAUAAUAUCGAGAGAUCAAAGGAGUAAUCCGCUUUGGAGGGGGUCGCGGCUGAUUAGCUAGUUGGUAGGGUAAUGGCCUACAAAGGCGAAGAUCGGUAUCCGGCCUGAGAGGGCGCACGGACACACUGGAACUGAAACACGGUCCAGACUCCUACGGGAGGCAGCAGUGGGGAAUUUUGCGCAAUGGGGGAAACCCUGACGCAGCAACGCCGCGUGGAGGAUGAAGCCCCUUGGGGUGUAAACUCCUUUCGACCGGGAAAAUAAUGAUGGUACCGGUGGAAGAAGCACCGGCUAACUCUGCGCCAGCAGCCGC